RNAcentral lists this unclassified non-coding RNA (380 nucleotides) under Hevea brasiliensis (rubber tree). The record is from RNAcentral. Lineage: Eukaryota; Viridiplantae; Streptophyta; Magnoliopsida; Malpighiales; Euphorbiaceae.
UUUUUUUUUUUUUUUUUUUUUUUUGUCAAUCAAAAACAUAAUCCUUUAGUGUACAUUACUAAAAUGGUCCAAAAUAUAGACAUCCACAGGCAAGUAAAUGUACACUGCAAAACACCUCAAAAAGUUCUACAACCAUGUUUCUGACCAUUUACCCUCAUAUGUGCUUGACAAAAAGAAAACAUGGCCAAACCCAUUUUCUAUUCACCACCAGCCCCAGCGUGCAACUGCUACCCACCAUCAAGAACCGAACCCAAAAACAGAAAAAGAAAAAUAUCACCCAAGAACUAGAGAAAAAUUAAUUCAAUUUCCACAGCAAACUAUCUGAAACGAAACCCAAGGCAUUGGAUGCAAUGAAAUCCUCAAUCUGAGAAGGGUUUGAU